RNAcentral lists this ribosomal RNA (465 nucleotides) under Vreelandella stevensii. RNAcentral describes it as "partial 16S ribosomal RNA". It matches the Rfam family "Bacterial small subunit ribosomal RNA", at positions 338 to 795 of the family's 1533-position model. The record is from RNAcentral. Lineage: Bacteria; Pseudomonadati; Pseudomonadota; Gammaproteobacteria; Oceanospirillales; Halomonadaceae.
CCUACGGGGUGCAGCAGUGGGGAAUAUUGGACAAUGGGCGAAAGCCUGAUCCAGCCAUGCCGCGUGUGUGAAGAAGGCCUUCGGGUUGUAAAGCACUUUCAGUGGGGAAGAAAGCCUUGGGGCUAAUACCCUCGAGGAAGGACAUCACCCACAGAAGAAGCACCGGCUAACUCCGUGCCAGCAGCCGCGGUAAUACGGAGGGUGCGAGCAUUAAUCGGAAUUACUGGGCGUAAAGCGCGCGUAGGCGGUCUGAUAAGCCGGUUGUGAAAGCCCCGGGCUCAACCUGGGAACGGCAUCCGGAACUGUCAGGCUAGAGUGCAGGAGAGGAAGGUAGAAUUCCCGGUGUAGCGGUGAAAUGCGUAGAGAUCGGGAGGAAUACCAGUGGCGAAGGCGGCCUUCUGGACUGACACUGACGCUGAGGUGCGAAAGCGUGGGUAGCAAACAGGAUUAGAUACCCCGGUAGUC